CCUACGGGAGGCAGCAGUGAGGAAUAUUGGUCAAUGGACGAGAGUCUGAACCAGCCAAGUCGCGUGAAGGAUGACUGCCCUAUGGAUUGUAAACUUCUUUUAUAUGGGAGUAAAAUGAUCCACGUGUGGGAUUUUGUAUGUACCAUAUGAAAAAGGAUCGGCUAACUCCGUGCCAGCAGCCGCGGUAAUACGGAGGAUCCGAGCGUUAUCCGGAUUUAUUGGGUUUAAAGGGUGCGGAGGUGGAUUUUGAAGUCAGUUGUGAAAGUUUGCGGGUCAACCGUAAAAUUGCAGUUGAAACUGGCAGUCUUGAGUACACGAGAGGUGGGCGGAAUUCGUGGUGUAGCGGUGAAAUGCUUAGAUAUCACGAAGAACUCCGAUUGCGAAGGCAGUUCACUGGACUGCAACUGACACUGAGGCACGAAAGUGUGGGUAUCAAACAGGAUUAGAUACCCGUGUAGUC
Molecule: ribosomal RNA, 460 nt
Filed under: uncultured bacterium
Lineage: Bacteria
Description: partial 16S ribosomal RNA
Rfam family: Bacterial small subunit ribosomal RNA
Source: RNAcentral